Molecule: long non-coding RNA, 2405 nt
Organism: Mastomys coucha (southern multimammate mouse)
Lineage: Eukaryota; Metazoa; Chordata; Mammalia; Rodentia; Muridae
Exons: 3
Source: RefSeq, a predicted model, not a curated record
GGAAGAGGCUUGUUGAGGAGGGGCGUUGGUCCAGGGCCAAGCUGUGUGAGUCCGGAGGUUAGGCGUUGGGAUGGGGUGGGGCUAUGAGCACCCGGUAGAGCUUGGGAAUAGGAAUUUGUGCUCUGAAGAAUCCUUGGGAACCGAUAGGAAUUGCGGGUGCUUGGAGUCUAGGCUGGGUGUGAGUGCUGACCUGCGUGGGUGGAGCUGUAGGGAUACUAGGGUGGAGCUUUGGAUCCCAACUUAACUUGGUCCGGAUCUGCUUAAGGAAAAGGAAGGAUUAUGUAGGCUGAAGUGGAAGUGGUGGGCCAAACUGUCAGUACUCAGCAAAGCAGUCAGGGCCUCAAAAGUGCCAACCAGGGCUGUGUGUGAUGAGAUUUUGUUGACGGAGCUGAGCUUUGGAUGCUGGCCUUACUUGCUGGAGGGCUAUGGGAGAAGGAAGGCAUGCCUGUGCAUGGGAGCCGAAUUAGUGAUGGGCAGUGCUAUGUAAGCUGAGGUGGAGGUUGAACAUGGUUUAGUGAUUGGUGACCUAUGAAGUAGGAACAGAGCUUUGGAUAGUGACAUAAUAAAAGCCCAGAAACUCUGAAAGAGGACAGGGCCAUGUAGAUAGGACCAGAUUGUGGGUUGUGGAUGGCGCUGUUAGUGCCGACUUGGGUCUCUAAAGUGCUGGCCAGGACUGUGAAUUGUAAGUGUGACAGCAGGACUGAGCUUUAAAUCCUGAUAUAAUGUGAUAGAAGGCCAGUGAAGGAAUAGGACAUGGCUGUGUGUGCUGACAUAGGAGUGCAGACUGUGUAUGCUGCACAGGUUGGGUGCACUGCUGUGAAUAGUGAUGUACUAAGUGAGGGAGGAGGAGUCUGGCCAUUUGUGAUGAUGUAGCAGUGGCGGGUAGGGCGCUGCUUUCUAGGUUAGCAGUGGUGGGUAGUACUGUGUAUGUUUAUGUCUGAUGGUGGGCAGGACUGUGAGUACUGUGGUUGAAGUGGUGGGCAGUGCUGUGUGUAUGGAGGUAGGAGAGGUAGGUGGUGUUGCAAGUGUUGCCCUGGGCACUUAGGGUUUACAGAGUACUGGGAAAGGGCCAUAGGUAUUAAUUUAUGGAAGGGGAGGGAGACCUUUGAAUACUGACGUACUGUGACAGAGGAUCACUGGAGAGGGAAGAGCAAGACUGUAUGCUGAAGUAAGAGUGGUGGGCUUAGCUGUGAAGUGCUGACCUAGGUGAGCUGUGUUCAAGAGUAAUGGGGAUGCUUGUCAAUGGUAAGGUAUGAAGUGGAGGUGGAACUUUGGAUAUUAACACAUAUGAUGUGAUGCAGGACCACUGAAGGGCAGAAAAAUGCAUGCUGAAGUGGGGAGAUUGGUGAAGUAUGAAAUAGAGCUUUAAAUACUGUCAUAAUAAAGUUCAGACUGCUGAUGUAGGGCUGGGUGUUGAGUGCUCACCUCCGUGGAUGAGUCAAUGGGAGCAAUGAUGCAUGAAGUAGGGAGAGAGCAGUGAAUUCUAACCUAAUAUGGAGUGAUGGUAAUGAAGAAGCAGGGCUGAGGGUAUUGAGGAUAGACCUAGAGGCAGAGAUAAAGGAAAAGCAGGGUGGGCCUAUGAGUGCUGUGGUCUAUCUGGGAUGGGGAGUGGGCUACUGGAAGAGGAAGGUGAGGCUUCUAGUGGCAGAGUAAAUGGGAGAGGAAGACCUUUAGGGCAGACCCAUAGGUUAUAAGGUAAGGCAUUUAGAGCAGGACUAUGAGAGCUGAGGCAGGAAUGUGAGCGGUGUCCUAUGCGUUGCUGGAUAGAUGUAGGUGGGUCUUGGGAGGAGCAGGACAGGGCAGAGCUGGGCAGGGCAGGGCAGGGCAGGGCAGGGACCUUUUAAGUACAGUCAGAGAGGCUUGUAGGUGGAAUUGGAAGGAGGCACUCAGAGAUUGUGAGACAUAUCCUUAAGUAAGAGAGGCAAAAUGAAAAGGAAAGUGUGCCUUAGGGACCUAAUCAUAUCGUGAGGGUGAUCUCCAGGGGACACCAUAGAGGACAUGAAUGCUGCAAAAAGGCCAGAAACUUUUGUCUGGGACCCAGGUGUACUUAGAUGGAGUCUUAAAGGUGCACUUCCUAAGAGAUGCUUCCAUCAGCUCCUUGUGCAUUAGUCACCUGUCUGGAUGAUAAAUACAUCCAUGGCAAAUGCUUAGAGGGCAUCUUGAGAUCUGUUAUCACUGGUGCAUGCACAGACUGAUGCAGGAGAGCUUGUCUUCCAGCAUGAAGACACACCACAGCGUGAGAUCAGCAGGCGGGCCUGUCCUCUUAGAUGCUCCCUGCAGUGCCAUCUGCUGGUCCAGUCCUCCAACUUCACUGGGAUCUAAGAUGAAGGGUGACCAGAAGCAGAGGCAGUGAGCACCUUGCAUGGUGGAAGUUCUGUCAUGCUGAAGGAGCAAGUGUGGAGGUG